UACAACUUCCAAAAUCUUAACUAAGCUUUUAGCUUAUGUUAAAGAACUUCUUCCUUGGUUUCGUUCUUACCUUUGGAAAAAGAAACCUAUUGUAAAUAUCUUGACAAUUUUCAAAUGAAACCAUGUUCCUCUGCCAUGUUUACAUUUCACUUUAACAAGUCCUUCAAAAAAUAAAAAUAAAAAAAAAAUAAAAAAAAUAAAAAAAAAAUCUAUUUUUGCAUAAGCAUAUCAUGCAUCAUUUUGCAUUCAUAGUUUCUAGUCUGUAUCUCACACUGUGUCUUCUCCAUAAAAGGGUCAAUUCAUUAGUAAAGUGGUCAGAUGUCUUC
Molecule: long non-coding RNA, 326 nt
Filed under: Medicago truncatula (barrel medic)
Lineage: Eukaryota; Viridiplantae; Streptophyta; Magnoliopsida; Fabales; Fabaceae
Description: long non-coding RNA (MTRU_LNC006745)
Source: RNAcentral